RNAcentral lists this ribosomal RNA (192 nucleotides) under Thermodesulforhabdus norvegica. Its description in RNAcentral is "Bacterial large subunit ribosomal RNA". It matches the Rfam family "Bacterial large subunit ribosomal RNA", at positions 2741 to 2925 of the family's 2925-position model. The record is from Rfam by way of RNAcentral. Lineage: Bacteria; Pseudomonadati; Thermodesulfobacteriota; Syntrophobacteria; Syntrophobacterales; Thermodesulforhabdaceae.
CUGGGUAGCUAUGUCCGGAAGGGAUAACCGCUGAAAGCAUCUAAGCGGGAAGCCCACCCCAAGAUAAGAGCUCCCUGGAUGUCGCAAGACAUCCUGAAGGCCCCUUGAAGACUACGAGGUUGAUAGGCCGGGCGUGGAAGCGUGGUAACACGUGGAGCGAACCGGUACUAAUGGGCCGAUCGGCUUGGCCAU